This 858-nucleotide ribosomal RNA is filed under the name Bacillus siamensis. RNAcentral describes it as "bacterial SSU rRNA". It matches the Rfam family "Bacterial small subunit ribosomal RNA", at positions 71 to 912 of the family's 1533-position model. Lineage: Bacteria; Bacillati; Bacillota; Bacilli; Caryophanales; Bacillaceae. The record is from RNAcentral.
GAUGGGAGCUUGCUCCCUGAUGUUAGCGGCGGACGGGUGAGUAACACGUGGGUAACCUGCCUGUAAGACUGGGAUAACUCCGGGAAACCGGGGCUAAUACCGGAUGGUUGUCUGAACCGCAUGGUUCAGACAUAAAAGGUGGCUUCGGCUACCACUUACAGAUGGACCCGCGGCGCAUUAGCUAGUUGGUGAGGUAACGGCUCACCAAGGCGACGAUGCGUAGCCGACCUGAGAGGGUGAUCGGCCACACUGGGACUGAGACACGGCCCAGACUCCUACGGGAGGCAGCAGUAGGGAAUCUUCCGCAAUGGACGAAAGUCUGACGGAGCAACGCCGCGUGAGUGAUGAAGGUUUUCGGAUCGUAAAGCUCUGUUGUUAGGGAAGAACAAGUGCCGUUCAAAUAGGGCGGCACCUUGACGGUACCUAACCAGAAAGCCACGGCUAACUACGUGCCAGCAGCCGCGGUAAUACGUAGGUGGCAAGCGUUGUCCGGAAUUAUUGGGCGUAAAGGGCUCGCAGGCGGUUUCUUAAGUCUGAUGUGAAAGCCCCCGGCUCAACCGGGGAGGGUCAUUGGAAACUGGGGAACUUGAGUGCAGAAGAGGAGAGUGGAAUUCCACGUGUAGCGGUGAAAUGCGUAGAGAUGUGGAGGAACACCAGUGGCGAAGGCGACUCUCUGGUCUGUAACUGACGCUGAGGAGCGAAAGCGUGGGGAGCGAACAGGAUUAGAUACCCUGGUAGUCCACGCCGUAAACGAUGAGUGCUAAGUGUUAGGGGGUUUCCGCCCCUUAGUGCUGCAGCUAACGCAUUAAGCACUCCGCCUGGGGAGUACGGUCGCAAGACUGAAACUCAAAGGAAUUG